This 109-nucleotide ribosomal RNA is filed under the name uncultured eukaryote. RNAcentral describes it as "partial small subunit ribosomal RNA". It matches the Rfam family "Bacterial small subunit ribosomal RNA", at positions 1419 to 1525 of the family's 1533-position model. The record is from RNAcentral.
ACCCGAAGUCAGUGAGCUAACACGUAAGUGAGGCAGCUGCCGAAGGUGGGGUCGAUGAUUGGGGUGAAGUCGUAACAAGGUAGCCGUAGGUGAACCUGCAGAAGGAUCA